Molecule: ribosomal RNA, 433 nt
Filed under: uncultured bacterium
Lineage: Bacteria
Description: partial 16S ribosomal RNA
Rfam family: Bacterial small subunit ribosomal RNA
Source: RNAcentral
AGCGAACGCUGGCGGCAGGCUUAACACAUGCAAGUCGAGCGGGCACUUCGGUGUCAGCGGCAGACGGGUGAGUAACACGUGGGAACGUACCCUUUGGUUCGGAAUAACGCUGGGAAACUAGCGCUAAUACCGGAUACGCCCUUUUGGGGAAAGGCUUGCUGCCGCAGGAUCGGCCCGCGUCUGAUUAGCUAGUUGGUGGGGUAAUGGCCUACCAAGGCGACGAUCAGUAGCUGGUCUGAGAGGAUGAUCAGCCACACUGGGACUGAGACACGGCCCAGACUCCUACGGGAGGCAGCAGUGGGGAAUAGUGGACAAUGGGCGCAAGCCUGAUCCAGCCAUGCCGCGUGAGUGAUGAAGGCCUUAGGGUUGUAAAGCUCUUUUGUCCGGGACGAUAAUGACGGUACCGGAAGAAUAAGCCCCGGCUAACUUCGUG